GUACCUUCCUUCCCCUCUGCAGUCCUGCUCUCCUAUUAAACAUUCAGCUGAAGCUCUUGUUGCCCUUUAAAGCAUUAUUGUUAAUUAGCUGCUAAAUGCAUCACAAACACAUGUAUAAGCCAGAAUAUUCAAAAUUAAAAAUAAUACUGAGUUUGGAUUCCCUUCAUGUGAAAAGCACAACAAAAUGCUACUUAUCCAAAUUUUUAUGGAAAGAUGUUAGCUGAUAUUGUUACAACAUUCACAAUUAUGCUAAAUGUCUCUUAUUUAUGUAGAUCAAACUCUUUCAUCAAUAAAAUAAAGGUUAAACACAAAAAACUAAAAGUGCAGUUACUGGAGAUGGGGGGGCGGGGCAAGGUCUGGUUGGGAACAAUAGCACUGAAGGGUCACAGGGAUAAAGCACAAAGCUCUAAGUUUCCUUAUUUUUAAUGCUAUAGCCUGUCACAUGUACAGAAUGAUGUCAGAUGUUUUCCUACAGAACACUACCACCUGCUGGCCGAUACACAAACUGUAUACAUCCAUGAGAUAAAGGAGAAACAUAUUUUGAUCAAAUCUUGAUCAAAUCUGAAUUAGGUUAACAGCUAAAAUAAUAAGUGAGUGUUUUUAUUCCCUCUUUACAGCCCAAACCUGAACAGCUAUUGUCAAAGCAAGCAGUGACCCUUAAACCUCUUAAUCCCACUAAGUGCAACUCAUGUCCAAAUACAGCUUAAAAAAGGAACUCAAACUAGAGCAGUGCUAGUUUCCACAUACGGCCUCAUACCAUUAAAAACACACAAACAUAAACACGCACGCACACGCAAAACACAAAGACCUGAAGGAAAACUUUCACCCUAUUUGUUUUUUUGCCUGAUGUCCCAUUUGGUUUUGUCUUUGCCUUCAUCCUAACUGUCUGCCAACAGGUGCAUGCUGGGACCAGCAGACAAGGUGGUGUUCAUGCAGGCGUUGGGCAUGGUGCAUGGACGGUCACUGGACAUCCGUGCAACACUGUAAAACUGUUACAAUAAUACUGGCAUGUUCAGCUGCUAAACCAGCGAGUGGUUGAAGUCUCCAAGCUUGUCCUCCUACCUGUAUGUAUGAAGAAAGCAACUGCUACGCUAUGAGCUAGCAGGAUAUUGUUCUAUAACUGAGAAGCCCUUAAAACAGCA
Long non-coding RNA from Astatotilapia calliptera (eastern happy), 1142 nucleotides. The record is from Ensembl. NCBI's taxonomy places the organism in Eukaryota, Metazoa, Chordata, Actinopteri, Cichliformes, Cichlidae.